This 200-nucleotide ribosomal RNA is filed under the name uncultured bacterium. RNAcentral's name for it is "partial 16S ribosomal RNA". It matches the Rfam family "Bacterial small subunit ribosomal RNA", at positions 30 to 228 of the family's 1533-position model. The record is from RNAcentral.
AUUGAACGCUGGCGGCGUGCUUAACACAUGCAAGUCGAGCGGUAACAGGCGUAGCAAUACGUGCUGACGAGCGGCGAACGGGUGAGUAAUGCUUCGGAAUCUGCCCAGUAGUGGGGAAUAACCUGGGGAAACUCAGGCUAAUACCGCAUACGUCCUACGGGAGAAAGCAGGGGACCUUCGGGCCUUGCGCUAUCAGAUGA